UACUGAGUGCCAUCUGAAUGGAGGAACCACAAAUCUGUUUUUUCGGUGUGCUCAGCUGGUGCAGUCAGGAAAUGUACCACUAGGGAGCAGCCUGGAUGCCUCACUGGUGCUUCUGCAGAGUAGACAGACCGAGUUGCUAGCUUUAACAAGUGUGUGUAUUUUGCUUUAGUAAUUAAACUUGUCCUGACAUGUCAGAAGGACUUCUGAGAGGCUUGUUUUUGUUUUCUUCGGAAGUGUAAUAUAUAAGCGAAACAUAAAACACAUUAAAAAGAAUAACCAGAGAGCCUGCUUCCCCACAGUGCCAUGUUUUGAGCAACAAUCUACAUUGAUGCAAUGUGGAUUUAAUUUUCAGGACCUUAAAGCAACUAGAUAUGAUGUGAUUGCAACAUUUAAGAGUGGGAUAGGUUCCUGACCUCCAGUGACUCAUAGCAGCCAGACAGUGGCUGCACAGAGGUAAGAAAUGCUGGCAAUUAAACCUCCUCUCUGUAUAUGAUCAGAGUGUUGGAAAAGGUGCAAACAAAACAAAGGACAUGAAACCCCCCAUACCUUCUGGGCUUCUAAAUCAGUCAUGGAGAGACAGUCACAAAUGGCAGAUUAAAGUAAAUGAACAACAACAACAAAGGUAACCUGACCUUUCAAACAAAACCUUCCUAACAUGCAAGGACUCAGGCUGAGUCAGGAAAUAAGCUUGGUGCAGUCCAAAUGUAUCCUUUAUAGCCCUGCCUGUCUUCUUUAAUUAUUGCAGUGUCAGUUCAAUGGUUCUGUGAAUUUUUAAAAAAAUAAUAUAUAUAUUUUUUUUUUCUUCUUUAAUAUUUCCCAAGUUAACUGGCAUAUCUUCUUCCUCGGCCUCAGCAGAGAAAAACAUACUGAAGACUUCAUGCAUGAAGUGUGAGACAUUUUGACGCUUUGAUCUGACUGCUGUACAGACAACUGGUUAGAGCAGAAGUAUAACCUCCUGAG
This 960-nucleotide long non-coding RNA is filed under the name Anser cygnoides (Swan goose). RNAcentral's name for it is "lncRNA (ENSACDG00005011228.1)". Lineage: Eukaryota; Metazoa; Chordata; Aves; Anseriformes; Anatidae. The record is from RNAcentral.